GUACUUACCUGGACGGGGUCAACUCGUGAUCAGGAAGACGAGUGGCUUAUGCUAGUGACCGACAUCGCACAUUAGUCUGGGGUGCUUAGCUUAAGGUCUUCCCAAGUGGAAGAGCCUACGUCAUUAUUUGUGGCAGGGGGGUUUGCGUUCGCGCAGCCCCUAC
RNAcentral lists this small nuclear RNA (163 nucleotides) under Arabidopsis suecica. Its description in RNAcentral is "U1". It matches the Rfam family "U1 spliceosomal RNA". Rfam says of the family: U1 is a small nuclear RNA (snRNA) component of the spliceosome (involved in pre-mRNA splicing). Its 5' end forms complementary base pairs with the 5' splice junction, thus defining the 5' donor site of an intron. The record is from RNAcentral. Lineage: Eukaryota; Viridiplantae; Streptophyta; Magnoliopsida; Brassicales; Brassicaceae.